This 2434-nucleotide long non-coding RNA is filed under the name Nicotiana benthamiana. RNAcentral describes it as "long non-coding RNA (NBEN_LNC018049)". The record is from RNAcentral. Lineage: Eukaryota; Viridiplantae; Streptophyta; Magnoliopsida; Solanales; Solanaceae.
UUCUCUCAAACUCUCUUGAAGCUUCUCAAACACUAGACGUCGACCACCACUCCCACCCUAAAAUCACUAGAAUCUAAGGCUUCCAAGGCCAUCGGAGUCCUACAGUGGCCUCGAAUGGCUCCCACACGCCUUAUUUCUGAAGAUUCAAGGUCUGGCCCUAAAGAAGCCUGGUCUAGGAUUUGUUUGAUUCAAGAUAUAUGGUCAUCUAUGGCCUGCUCCGGCGAGCCAUGCCUCCUUCGAGCUUGGGUUUGACUUCUCCUGCUUAGAUCAGUGAAUUUUCCAAGCCUUUCUCACUACCCUUCGAGGUUUUUCUGAUCUUAUUAGAUCUGUUCCAGAUCCAUACAUUCCUUAAGUUAUUAAACGAUUUUCCUGACAUUUCUUUCAAAAAAUUACUUUCAACAUCAUCUCUUUUCCAGCCUAGGUUUUUUCUGAAAGUAUGUAAAUGUUUCUCUGAUUUUCUUUUUCUUUUAUGUGUAUUUGCCUCUACUGUGUUCUUGUAUUUUCUUCUACUGUAUUUUUUCUACUGUGUUCUUGUAUUUUCAUCUACUACAUUCUUGUAUACUUCUUCUACUGUAUUUUCCCUUACUGUGUUCUUGAGUGUUUCUUAUUAAGUCUCAUCUACUGAGUUCUGGUUAAAAUUCUUCUAAAACCUCUUAAAUAUGCUUCUCCUACUGUACUUAUCAAUUUUUUCAAUUAUGUUUCGUAUUCGUUUCUUCUACUCUGUUUUCUUUGAGCUCUUCUACUGUGUUUUGCACGUUACUCUGCUAUUAUGUUUCUCAUGAGUUUUUGUUGCUGAGAGGAACAUGGUAUAAGUUUCAGUUCUUUCUGAGACCUCUGAACCUAUUUCGAGUCUCUGAAAUGAGUUUCAAAACACUUGUUUUUCAAAUGAUUCCGACUUUUGCAAAACUCUUCUAAGAUCUUUAACAUUGGAUCUUUUGUAUGCUACGAGAUGCUACUUUUCUUCUACAUUACUGAUCUAUGGGUAAGCCAUUAUGUAUUGAUUUUGAAAUGGCACAAUAGUCCUCUUUCAUCUUAACAUCUUUGUAUGCCUUUUAUAUAUGAUGAACUCUCCUCUAAAGUGGCUUUUAAAUUUGUGAUUAUUUCGGACUUCCUUCUGAAUAGGUCAUAUUAAUUUCUUUCCAUUGUUUGACAAUUUCCCUGUGAUUUCUUUCUCAGCUUUGCUGACUUGGUUCAUUCAUGAGCCAAUAAUUACAGGAUCUCUGAACUGUGAUUUAUCGGCUGCUAAUUGAUUUUUUUACCUUAUUUGUACAACCGCGUAUUUCAAAAAUUCUUUCCUUAAGUAAACUUCUAUGUAUUUACCCCUAAUUGCAUACUUUGCACAAAGUACUUAUUUAAUUUAUUUCCUCAAAUAGGUUUUACUCGUUUGAAUCUGAAUUCCUUAAUUAAAGGAAGUCUUGUGUGAUUGAUUCUUAAUUGAUAUUCAGUUCCUUAACUGUUUCCUUGCCUUAUUUUCUGCCUUAUUUUCACACUAUAAAGGCACGACUCUUUUCACAAACUCAUCACAUAUUUUUUCACAAUCCUUCUGAACUCAUACUUAUACACAAUAUUAUUCUCUCUCUUUGUCUACACGAUGGCCUGUUUACAAGACCUACUGCUUUUUCUCUAUUUAUUUCUUUGAAACCGGUAUGUCCUAAUUUAAGCUUCAGCAUCACCACAAUAUGUUUAUUUACAACUUGUGUAUCCAUGUAUACUUACUUCUUCUGUAGAGUUAAAUAUUUAAGCUAGCAUGCCGAUUUCUUUCUGCUUGUUUCUGCUAUGAAUCCAUACUCCCUACCCCCUUAUGUGUUUGAGCUAUCGUUUAAGACAUGGCAAUAUGUAAGUUAUUGUCCAUGAACUAAACUUGAUUCCUUUGAGAUCUUAGCCUCUAAACAGUGUGUUCUAACAAGCUAAUGGGCAUGCUAGAACUACCUAUUGCUGGGUAUGCCCACAGCCUACUCUUGCCUCUUUCUUUCCCAUUCCCCUAUACCCCUAUACUAAUUUUUCCCUUUCCCUUUCCCCUGUUUAGAACUAUAUUUAUGCACUGACACUCUCUCUUAGUCUUAAAGUUCUGCCCCCUCUUGUGAGCCUUGCCUUGGCACCUUGACUUCCCUCUGAACUUGGACACUUGAGGGUUAGCCCUUCUACGCUACACUGGUCUUAAUCUGAUAAUGCUUUUGGGCUUAAGCAUUGCCCGGGGUGCUUUUCAAUGCUCUUAGGGAACUUUGACACAUCCAAAUGGGAGAAAGGCUUUGGAACAUGAUAUCUUGGAGUUAGUUUACUUCAUAUUUCAGAUAGGAAGUCUGAAUCGGGCUCUCCUUGGUUGUACUUUAUACUUUUUGGUGUAUUUUUCUAUUUUUAUUCUGAGUUGUAAUAAUUUUGUAAUAAUACUGUUGGGGAUGGCUAGUGAAAAGGGAGGGAUAACUCUGUAUGCAAG